Molecule: long non-coding RNA, 776 nt
Filed under: Zostera marina
Lineage: Eukaryota; Viridiplantae; Streptophyta; Magnoliopsida; Alismatales; Zosteraceae
Description: long non-coding RNA (ZMAR_LNC002228)
Source: RNAcentral
CCAUGGUCGAAAAUCGAAAUUUUGGGCCACCAGUUUUAAAGACGUCAUGAAACAUUUAAUCUUAACCGUCUACAUUUAUGUAGGUACGUCGAUCUAAUCUGAACUGUUCAUUUCGUUGUUUGAUAUUUUUUUCAAAUAAUUUUGGAAAUAUGAUUAUAUGCUUAUAUGAUAUGUGAUCUUAAGAUCUUUCUAAUGACUUUUAUUCAGUAAGACCAAUAUAAUAUGCUUCUUGCUAACUGUCGAUACCUUAAAUUAUCGAACCCGAAAUCAAUCUUUUAGCCCAUCACAAGGAGGAAGUCUGCAGAACAAGGUAGAUCGGCUCGCGUGUACGACAACCCAUAUGUCGCCUUGCUCAGGCGACUGCUGACGAUGUUCCGAAUUAGGAGGAUCAAGCCAAUCACUCAGACUUAAGAAGGCAUGGUCGCACAAGAUAAGUUGGAGCGACCCGCGGCCACUAACCCUCACACCGACUUGUCUAGGCGACAAGUGAGGCGUGAGAGAUGGAUCGCACAACAUAGAGUCCUAGAGGGCCCAUGAAGUCUAGGCAUGCCAAAGUAGGCUAAAUAGGACCUUAGGGUGUCCGUCGAUUUUUCGGAGAAAGAAGAGAGUAUAGUUUGUUUUCGAAUCUCGUUAUAUACGUAUUUUCAUUAAAAUUUUACUAAAAACCUUUCAACUGCAUCUCAGCUGGAUGAUAGUUUUUUUUGUAAUGGAUUUCAUGAGAUUAACUAAACUCUAUAUCCUAAAUGAUCUAAGUAAAAAGCAAAAGAAAGAAGAAG